This 3979-nucleotide long non-coding RNA is filed under the name Podarcis muralis (Common wall lizard). RNAcentral describes it as "lncRNA (ENSPMRG00000013035.1)". The record is from RNAcentral. Lineage: Eukaryota; Metazoa; Chordata; Lepidosauria; Squamata; Lacertidae.
AUGUCAUUUUGGGCAAUUAUAACCCAGGAAAUUCCCCAAUGUUUUUUUCCUUUCCAGAACGAAAACAAACUGGCCAGCCCAAACCAGAGAAGAAAUGUGGCGCUAGGUGUGUUGGGGCCGGAGCAUAGAGGUCUCUGUGUUGCAAAGCUGUUAUUGUCACUCAAAAGAAACUGGACCAUUUCUGCCAGGGUGCCCUGGUUUAUUGAAUUGAUUGGAAGGACAGAUCGUGAAGCUGAGGCUCCAGUACUUUGGCCACCUCAUGAGAAGAGAAGACUCCCUGGAAAAGACCCUGAUGUUGGGAAAGAUGGAGGGCACAAGGAGAAGGGGACGACAGAGGACGAGAUGGUUGGAUAGUGUUCUCGAAUCUACUAACAUGAGUUUGACCAAACUGCGGGAGGCAGUGGAAGAUAGGAGUGCCUGGCGUGCUCUGGUCCAUGGAGUCACGAAGAGUCGGACACGACUAAACAACAACAACAAUUGCUUCUUGAAACAACUAGUCCAGAAGCAAUAAAAUACUGUAAUAGUAGUACAGAAACAUUGAACUGUAUCAAAGUAAAAGCAACGAAUACCUGGUGCUGCCCAAAUGUGCAGGUAAACAACAGCAUAUUUACCCCUGUUACCCAAACAAUGGCAAAGUUGGUGCCAGGCAGGCCUCCCAGGGCAAGGGAUUUCAUCAACAGGGAGCUGCUACAGACAAGGUAGUCUUUGAGCUCCAGGACAGGUCAAAGGCACACAUAGAAUCAUAAAAUGAUAGAAUUUAGAGACAGGCGGAUGCCAACAAGGAAAGAACAAAUCACAUAAUUUCCAUGUGCUGUGAAUAAAACUAAACCUUGCCCCCUCAAUUUUCAGUCCAGUUCGAGAUGUAUAGGAUGGUUGCUGUUUUUAACCCAUUACUUGUUUAAGAACUUGUGGAGAAUCUUUUUUCCCCCAUGGCAAAUGUUUCUUUAAAAAUGUGUGUAUGUGUGUGCUUGUAUAUAUCAUGGGGAAGGGACUCCCCAAUAAAGUUAUCUAGAGAUCAAAAUCAGUUCAAACCCUGAUAAUGUAUUAGCAAAUAAUAUAUCUGUCAUUCAGAAUAUCAGAAGGAUUCUUGAUGCAAAGAACCAAUGCAGUAUUUUUAUGGCUGUGGAAAGCAAAAAUGAGGUUUACGCAAAAGCUGAUCUCUCUCUCUAUAUUUCACGAAGUGCGCUGUGAUAAUGACAUAGCAUAUCACAAUUUAUUACAGCAGGAUCCUUCCCCCCCAACCCCCGGUAAUUACAUAGGUUUUCCAGAAAGAAAAAGAAAAAUAUGGGAUCGGUUUUCUGAGCACAAUACUAUAUUAUUAUGGAUCUUUAUUAACAUCUUUAAUCUUGACUCAGCCAAGAGGUGAGACGAGUAUCUUGAACAAUGUAAUAUGGUCGGAGUACUUCUGUGCUUGAGUAACAAAUCCUGACCUUUAACCCUAGGGUAGCCAUGACACUCCAGGUGUUGCUGCACUCCAGCCACAGCCAAUGGUCAGAGACGAUGGGAGUUGUACUCUAAGAACCUUUGGAGGUCUUCAGGUUCCUUCUCAGAGAAAAUACCUUGUUUCAACCCCCCAAAUUUGGGAUAAGAAAGGAUUAAUUCCUAGGGUUCCACCACUAGCUUUACUUCUGUAUAGCUGAAUCUUUCAAUUGGUUGGCAUACGCAACAAAUUUGAGAUAUGCAAACAGAUAUGUGAUAUGCCUCUUCCAAAGAUAUGAGAUUUAAAUAGCAGCUUAUCUAGAUGCUAAUCGGCUAAUGCAAAAUAUAGAUCAUUUUUUUCAGAUAAAGCACAAUACAGUAAAUUCUAAUAAGUCAGUUGGCUAAAUCUGACAUACUGCUAAAAUUUUGUAGCGAUACUCUCUGUGGCUUGGUCACGUUGUCUCUAUCUGGCUGGCCUGCUAAAAAAAACAAGAAGACUGUUUUCUGUGGCUUGAUUGAUGACAAUUCUUAGAACGUGAUAAGAUCCAGAGAAAUUCAUUCAGUGUGUGAGUCAGCUAACACAUACACCCUGCCUUCUCCCCACCCCCAUAAAUGGGAUGUGGUAAGUUCCAUUUAUAUUGCACCUCAGUCUUGUUGCUAAAGAACCAUUUCUGUGCUGCUUUUUACUGUUUUUGUUCUAUGUUAAGAGUUUGUGGGUGCCAGACCCCUCUAAUCCUGGAUCCAGCAAGUGUUAACAUAUAAACCAAGCUAGCUUCCUGUUGAGAUGAUCACCUGGGUGAUGGGCCAUUAAAAGAACAAAGAGUGUGGGAAUGUUAUGGGAGGCAGGAGAGGAUAUAUUGUUUAAUGAUAUCCUUCCUAACUCGUGUUAGCAAGUUCUAUGUCUUAGCAGAGUUUAAAGAUUCCCCUUUAAACGCACAGUGGUUUGCUUGUUGCAGGUUUGUCUGAAGCUCUCUAUAUAAGAUUCCUUCUUGUCCCUCUUAAAAAGAAUAUACACAACAAUCUUAUUAAAGUGAAUAUAAAAGUAGUUUACUCACAUUCAUUCAGUUCACAGAUCCCUGAAGGCAGACUUAUGUUACAAAAGUAUAUACACAUGUGGAACUAUCCCAUAAGGGAGUUAGUUCCUAAGUGACUGUGAACAAGCAGUCACUUCUCCUCACACACAGAAAAACAAAAUGGAGAAGAGCCGAAAGAGAAAGGUGUGCUCUUGUUCCCGGGCAGAGAGAGGGCCAGAUUAGACCACAUCCUCCUCUAGUCACAUGCAGAGGAAGUUUGUCCCAGCUCAGGAGGAAACAGGAAGUUUUCUCCUGGCUGGUACAAAGCAUCCCCUAGCAUGUUCACUCUAGGAAUGUUGUACUUGGCUGCUAUGUGUUCCACAUCCCACAAAGGGAAUGGGGGGGGGAUCUGUGCCAGAUGCAAAAUGGGUGGGUCCCCUCCUUCAACUCUUUAUUAGGACAAAGUUUUAGAGCAGAGUUUGCUGUGGCACAACCUAGAACCAAAGCAGCAAGCAGAGAGUCAGAGAGCAAUGUUGAAUUCCUAUCUGAAUCCAAGGUUGCGGCUAUGGGAGAAGCAAUAUCCUUUUGGGGUGUUGAUGCUGUGAACCCCUCCAUCGUAGGUUCAGGUUGUGUGUGUGUGUGUGUGUGUGUGCAAAUAAACCAUCUAUUAUAAAGACGCCACUGUCUCUGCUGUGCCUCAUUCAAAAAGGAAGCGUGAACCCCAGGUGAGCACUUGGAACCCCAAAAUAGCACGCUGCUCGGAGAUUGUGGCAGUGUGCAACAAUACUUAGUAUUGUAUUUUAUUAUUUGACAUUUCCAAGAGUCAUGUGGGCAGCUUAUGCUGCUGGGCAGCCAAAAAUGCAGAGUUAAAUGAAUGAAUAAGGAGGAAAGGAAGAAAGCUCUGUUAUAUAAAAAAUAGAUGUAAUGCGCUGUUAGGCAAAUAAGCUGUCGUUUCUCUGCAUGUCAGACCCUGGGAACAAAGGGAAAGGGUGUGGGGAAUGCACAAGGGACAUUAGUAAGCUCUUUCUACAAGGGGGACAGCUUCUGUGACAUAUGAGAAGCAAAUUGGAGGGAGGAAAACAGCCGCUGAAACAUUGGAGUGACGAUCCAGACAGUCCAAAUAAGCUGAUUUGCCAGUUUAAGAAACGUGAGCUUUACUAACAGCAAACGGAGACCGAAGGAAAACAUAUUUGUAAGUGACAGGUGGUGUUCCCAACGUUCCCUCUCUGUGUUUGUUCUUCUCCAAUUGAGUAGCUCAGAGCCUGCUAGAAUCAACGCUUGCCCUCACUCCCUUACUGCCGCUUAAUUCAUAACUGCCUUAUGAAGUUACUACGCAAGGAUUUUAUGUGAGCAGAGGACACAAUGUGUUAUGAAAGCCGACAGCGUUCCCGAGGACGGGAACAUUUUGAGUCAGCGUCACGGUGGAGGUGGGUGGGUGGGGACGGGAAAUCCCCACUGCCACGAGAAAGCAGAAAUAUAAAGAUGACAGGACCACUUCCUGCAUAGGGACAGAAGGAUACAUCACUUCAGAUAACAAACAGGACCAG